This 1374-nucleotide ribosomal RNA is filed under the name uncultured bacterium. Its description in RNAcentral is "bacterial SSU rRNA". It matches the Rfam family "Bacterial small subunit ribosomal RNA". The record is from RNAcentral.
CCUUAGAGUUUGAUCCUGGCUCAGGACGAACGCUGGCGGCGCGCCUAACACAUGCAAGUCGAACGAGCGAGAGAGAGCUUGCUUUCUCGAGCGAGUGGCGAACGGGUGAGUAACGCGUGAGGAACCUGCCUCAAAGAGGGGGACAACAGUUGGAAACGACUGCUAAUACCGCAUAAGCCCACGGUGCCGCAUGGUACAGAGGGAAAAGGAGCAAUCCGCUUUGAGAUGGCCUCGCGUCCGAUUAGCUAGUUGGUGAGGUAACGGCCCACCAAGGCGACGAUCGGUAGCCGGACUGAGAGGUUGAACGGCCACAUUGGGACUGAGACACGGCCCAGACUCCUACGGGAGGCAGCAGUGGGGAAUAUUGCACAAUGGGGGAAACCCUGAUGCAGCGACGCCGCGUGGAGGAAGAAGGUCUUCGGAUUGUAAACUCCUGUUGUUGGGGAAGAUAAUGACGGUACCCAACAAGGAAGUGACGGCUAACUACGUGCCAGCAGCCGCGGUAAAACGUAGGUCACAAGCGUUGUCAGGAAUUACUGGGUGUAAAGGGAGCGCAGGCGGGAAGACAAGUUGGAAGUGAAAUCUAUGGGCUCAACCCAUAAACUGCUUUCAAAACUGUUUUUCUUGAGUAGUGCAGAGGUAGGCGGAAUUCCCGGUGUAGCGGUGGAAUGCGUAGAUAUCGGGAGGAACACCAGUGGCGAAGGCGGCCUACUGGGCACCAACUGACGCUGAGGCUCGAAAGUGUGGGUAGCAAACAGGAUUAGAUACCCUGGUAGUCCACACCGUAAACGAUGAUUACUAGGUGUUGGAGGAUUGACCCCUUCAGUGCCGCAGUUAACACAAUAAGUAAUCCACCUGGGGAGUACGACCGCAAGGUUGAAACUCAAAGGAAUUGACGGGGGCCCGCACAAGCAGUGGAGUAUGUGGUUUAAUUCGACGCAACGCGAAGAACCUUACCAAGUCUUGACAUCCCUUGACAGGCAUAGAAAUAUGUUUUCUCUUCGGAGCAAGGAGACGGGUGGUGCAUGGUUGUCGUCAGCUCGUGUCGUGAGAUGUUGGGUUAAGUCCCGCAACGAGCGCAACCCUUAUGGUCAGUUACUACGCAAGAGGACUCUGGCCAGACUGCCGUUGACAGAACGGAGGAAGGUGGGGAUGACGUCAAAUCAUCAUGCCCUUUAUGACUUGGGCUACACACGUACUACAAUGGCGUUAAACAAAGAGAAGCAAGACCGCGAGGUGGAGCAAAACUCAGAAACAACGUCCCAGUUCGGACUGCAGGCUGCAACUCGCCUGCACGAAGUCGGAAUUGCUAGUAAUCGUGGAUCAGCAUGCCACGGUGAAUACGUUCCCGGGCCUUGUACACACCGCCCGUCA